Molecule: ribosomal RNA, 905 nt
Filed under: Trichoderma koningiopsis
Lineage: Eukaryota; Fungi; Ascomycota; Sordariomycetes; Hypocreales; Hypocreaceae
Description: eukaryotic LSU rRNA
Rfam family: 5.8S ribosomal RNA (bases 167-320)
Source: RNAcentral
AAACCCAUGUGAACCAUACCAAACUGUUGCCUCGGCGGGGUCACGCCCCGGGUGCGUCGCAGCCCCGGAACCAGGCGCCCGCCGGAGGGACCAACCAAACUCUUUCUGUAGUCCCCUCGCGGACGUUAUUUCUUACAGCUCUGAGCAAAAAUUCAAAAUGAAUCAAAACUUUCAACAACGGAUCUCUUGGUUCUGGCAUCGAUGAAGAACGCAGCGAAAUGCGAUAAGUAAUGUGAAUUGCAGAAUUCAGUGAAUCAUCGAAUCUUUGAACGCACAUUGCGCCCGCCAGUAUUCUGGCGGGCAUGCCUGUCCGAGCGUCAUUUCAACCCUCGAACCCCUCCGGGGGGUCGGCGUUGGGGAUCGGGAACCCCUAAGACGGGAUCCCGGCCCCGAAAUACAGUGGCGGUCUCGCCGCAGCCUCUCCUGCGCAGUAGUUUGCACAACUCGCACCGGGAGCGCGGCGCGUCCACGUCCGUAAAACACCCAACUUCUGAAAUGUUGACCUCGGAUCAGGUAGGAAUACCCGCUGAACUUAAGCAUAUCAAUAAGCGGAGGAAGCAAAUGCGACUGUGAUCCAUGGCAUAGCACUUUUUCGCGCUUGCAGAGUAUAUAGUCCGUAUCGCUUUCUCCUAUUAUCGAAAUAACCGCAUAACAGGGACAUCACGAGCAUAAUGAUAAUAUUACCAGAAAAACACCAAACACGCCUCUCUGGUCGGCUGCCGCGCAUACACCCCAUCUACCCAACUAAUUAGAGAUAUCAUAAACACUCANCAAACCGAAAUCAAGAGGAGCAUCUGGAGUGCUGUAUUGUAUGGACUAAUAUGUAUCUAUUAUCAUUAUUAUUAACAUCACGCACGUAAGCGUACACUUAACAUAGUCCAAGCACGAACACGUAAGACGGCCAG